UACGUAGGGGGCAAGCGUUAUCCGGAUUUACUGGGUGUAAAGGGAGCGUAGGCGGCAAGGUAAGCCAGAAGUGAAAGCCCGUGGCUCAACCGCGGAACUGCUUUGGAAACUGUAUAGCUUGAGUACUGGAGAGGCAGGCGGAAUUCCUAGUGUAGCGGUGAAAUGCGUAGAUAUUAGGAGGAACACCAGUGGCGAAGGCGGCCUGCUGGACGAUGACUGACGUUGAGGCUCGAAAGCGUGGGGAGCAAACAGG
Molecule: ribosomal RNA, 253 nt
Filed under: uncultured Lachnospiraceae bacterium
Lineage: Bacteria; Bacillati; Bacillota; Clostridia; Lachnospirales; Lachnospiraceae
Description: partial 16S ribosomal RNA
Rfam family: Bacterial small subunit ribosomal RNA
Source: RNAcentral